AUCUGAACCUUCGGGGAACGAUAACGGCGUCGAGCGGCGGACGGGUGAGUAAUGCCUAGGAAAUUGCCCUGAUGUGGGGGAUAACCAUUGGAAACGAUGGCUAAUACCGCAUGAUGCCUACGGGCCAAAGAGGGGGACCUUCGGGCCUCUCGCGUCAGGAUAUGCCUAGGUGGGAUUAGCUAGUUGGUGAGGUAAGGGCUCACCAAGGCGACGAUCCCUAGCUGGUCUGAGAGGAUGAUCAGCCACACUGGAACUGAGACACGGUCCAGACUCCUACGGGAGGCAGCAGUGGGGAAUAUUGCACAAUGGGCGCAAGCCUGAUGCAGCCAUGCCGCGUGUAUGAAGAAGGCCUUCGGGUUGUAAAGUACUUUCAGUCGUGAGGAAGGUUCAUGCGUUAAUAGCGUAUGGAUUUGACGUUAGCGACAGAAGAAGCACCGGCUAACUCCGUGCCAGCAGCCGCGGUAAUACGGAGGGUGCGAGCGUUAAUCGGAAUUACUGGGCGUAAAGCGCAUGCAGGUGGUUUGUUAAGUCAGAUGUGAAAGCCCGGGGCUCAACCUCGGAAUAGCAUUUGAAACUGGCAGACUAGAGUACUGUAGAGGGGGGUAGAAUUUCAGGUGUAGCGGUGAAAUGCGUAGAGAUCUGAAGGAAUACCG
This 653-nucleotide ribosomal RNA is filed under the name Allocatenococcus thiocycli. RNAcentral describes it as "bacterial SSU rRNA". It matches the Rfam family "Bacterial small subunit ribosomal RNA", at positions 65 to 711 of the family's 1533-position model. Lineage: Bacteria; Pseudomonadati; Pseudomonadota; Gammaproteobacteria; Vibrionales; Vibrionaceae. The record is from RNAcentral.